AGAGUUUGAUCAUGGCUCAGAGCGAACGUUGCGGCGGGCUAACACAUGCAAGUCGAACGAGAACUCGGGCUUCGGCCUGGGGGAAAGUGGCGCACGGGUGCGUAACACGUGGGUAAUCAACCCUCUGGAUUGGGACAACCCGGGGAAACUCGGGCUAAUACCGAAUGUGUCGUGGGAGUCUUAGGGCUUCCACGGGAAAGGCCCGCAAGGGCUACCAGAGGACGAGCUCGCGGCCCAUCAGCUAGUUGGUGAGGUAAUGGCUCACCAAGGCUAAGACGGGUAGCUGGUCUGAGAGGAUGAUCAGCCACACUGGAACUGAGACACGGUCCAGACUCCUACGGGAGGCAGCAGUGGGGAAUAUUGCGCAAUGGGCGAAAGCCUGACGCAGCCACGCCGCGUGUGCGAUGAAGGUCUUCGGAUCGUAAAGCACUGUGGGGGGAGAAGAACAAAGCCGGUGAAGAGCCGGCCCUGACGGUAUCCCCUUAGCAAGCACCGGCUAACUCCGUGCCAGCAGCCGCGGUAAUACGGAGGGUGCAAACGUUGCUCGGAAUCACUGGGCGUAAAGCGCACGUAGGCGGCCUUGCAAGUUGGAUGUGAAAGCCCUGGGCUCGACCCAGGAAGUGCAUCCAAAACUGCUUGGCUUGAGUGCCGGAGGGGUUCAGAGAAUUCCCGGUGUAGAGGUGAAAUUCGUAGAUAUCGGGAGGAAUACCAGUGGCGAAGGCGCUGAACUGGACGGUAACUGACGCUGAGGUGCGAAAGCGUGGGUAGCAAACAGGAUUAGAUACCCUGGUAGUCCACGCCGUAAACGAUGAGUGCUAGGCGGUGGGAGAUUUUGACCCUCUCGCUGUCGAAGCUAACGCGUUAAGCACUCCGCCUGGGGAGUACGGUCGCAAGACUAAAACUCAAAUGAAUUGACGG
This 918-nucleotide ribosomal RNA is filed under the name uncultured bacterium. Its description in RNAcentral is "bacterial SSU rRNA". It matches the Rfam family "Bacterial small subunit ribosomal RNA", at positions 8 to 916 of the family's 1533-position model. The record is from RNAcentral.